RNAcentral lists this long non-coding RNA (362 nucleotides) under Sinocyclocheilus grahami. RNAcentral's name for it is "lncRNA (ENSSGRG00000023029.1)". The record is from RNAcentral. Lineage: Eukaryota; Metazoa; Chordata; Actinopteri; Cypriniformes; Cyprinidae.
UGUCUGUUGCUGUCACUGUCUCGCUGUUCCAGACGCAGAUGAGACAUCGUACCCUCACCUCUGUCAGCCUGAUGUCCUCCCGUCAUGUUCAGUGAGUGUUCCAUAACAUCUCUCCGCUUCAUCAGAGCUUGUGUUGAGGUAAUCAAGGGUUUUGUAUAAAAGAACCAAAGUUUGUGUCACACACACAGUGGAGUGUGUGUCGUGUGCCGAAUAAUGAGCCGAAUCCAGCCAGAGCUCCUCAAGAGACAGGUGGUCUUGCAUCUGUGGAAUUACCUGCCCUGUUCCAAAGCCAAUGAAACAAGGGGAAAGUUUCUCAGGUUGUCCUGCUCUUUCCUGUGCUCAGACAUUAAAUGCCACCUGCU